Molecule: non-coding RNA, 636 nt
Organism: Erythranthe guttata (spotted monkey flower)
Lineage: Eukaryota; Viridiplantae; Streptophyta; Magnoliopsida; Lamiales; Phrymaceae
Source: RefSeq, a predicted model, not a curated record
UAUUUUGUGACAAAUAUUUAGGUUUCUUAUGACAAAGUAAUUUUGUCACAACAUAAAAAUAAUAUAAAUUACUUAUUACUAAAAAAUCUCCACCAAAAUUUCUAGACAUGCCCGAUCCCUGUCUUUUCUUCUCUCAUAAAUUCCCUUUUUUUUCCUUCUCCUUUUUUAUUUGUUCACUUUUUAAUUGAAGACCAUCGUUGCACCACCACCACCAUCAUUGCACCGCCAUCUUUGCACCGCCAUCACCAUUGAUCUGGCUCUUCGAUCUGGCUUUCGCGUCCACCACCAUCGUUGCACCGCCAGUGUUCGUUUGCCUUCGCCACCGCCAGUGUUCGUUUCCCUUCGCCUCCGCCAAUCUCAAUCGAUUCAGGCUGAUGCCGAAAAUUGCCGAGGUUGGAGUCGAUCGGAGCUCGUGAAUGGGAAUUAGGAUUCUCAGCCAUUAGCACGUUUUGGAAAGGGGGAAACCGCUUGUACGGAGUCAAAAUAUCCGCAAAUUGUGUGGGAAAAUUGUACAAAGGAGCCAGCACAAGUAUGCAUCAAAUUUUGUAGAGAAAUGUUUAGAGUUUGGCGAUGCUGCUGAACGGGAGUUCUUGAUUGAUGAGAUCCUUCUGCAGUUUGAAGACAAUGACAAUUUAC